RNAcentral lists this ribosomal RNA (1402 nucleotides) under uncultured bacterium. RNAcentral describes it as "16S ribosomal RNA". It matches the Rfam family "Bacterial small subunit ribosomal RNA". The record is from RNAcentral.
AGAGUUUGAUCCUGGCUCAGGAUGAACGUUAGCGGCAGGCUUAACACAUGCAAGUCGAGGGGCAGCGGGGAGGAAGCUUGCUUUCUCCGCCGGCGACCGGCGCACGGGUGAGUAACACGUAUGCAACCUGCCCCUGUCAGGGGGACAACCCGCCGAAAGGCGGGCUAAACCCGCGUACAUGCCACCGGGGCAUCCCGGAGGCAGGAAAGGCUUCGGCCGGACAGGGAUGGGCAUGCGGCGCAUUAGGCAGUAGGCGGGGUAACGGCCCACCUAACCGACGAUGCGUAGGGGUUCUGAGAGGAAGGUCCCCCACACUGGUACUGAGACACGGACCAGACUCCUACGGGAGGCAGCAGUGAGGAAUAUUGGUCAAUGGUCGGGAGACUGAACCAGCCAAGCCGCGUGUGGGAUGAAGGUACAGAGUAUCGUAAACCUCUUUUGUCAGGGAACAAAGGCGGGGACGCGUCCCCGGAUGAGUGUACCUGAAGAAAAAGCAUCGGCUAACUCCGUGCCAGCAGCCGCGGUAAUACGGAGGAUGCGAGCGUUAUCCGGAUUUAUUGGGUUUAAAGGGUGCGCAGGCGGUCUGUUAAGUCAGCGGUCAAAGCCCGGGGCUCAACCCCGGCCCGCCGUUGAAACUGGCAGUCUCGAGUUGGAGAGAAGUAUGCGGAAUGCGCGGUGUAGCGGUGAAAUGCAUAGAUAUCGCGCAGAACUCCGAUUGCGAAGGCAGCAUGCCGGCUCCACACUGACGCUGAGGCACGAAAGCGUGGGUAUCGAACAGGAUUAGAUACCCUGGUAGUCCACGCAGUAAACGAUGAAUGCUGGCUGUCCGGGGGGACUGACCCCUGGGUGGCGAAGCGAAAGCGAUAAGCAUUCCACCUGGGGAGUACGCCGGCAACGGUGAAACUCAAAGGAAUUGACGGGGGCCCGCACAAGCGGAGGAACAUGUGGUUUAAUUCGAUGAUACGCGAGGAACCUUACCCGGGCUCAAACGGGGAGUGACUCAGGCAGAGACGCCUGUUUCCCACGGGACACUCCCCGAGGUGCUGCAUGGUUGUCGUCAGCUCGUGCCGUGAGGUGUCGGCUUAAGUGCCAUAACGAGCGCAACCCCCGCGUGCAGUUGCUAACAGAUAACGCUGAGGACUCUGCACGGACUGCCGGCGCAAGCCGCGAGGAAGGCGGGGAUGACGUCAAAUCAGCACGGCCCUUACGUCCGGGGCGACACACGUGUUACAAUGGGUGGUACAGCGGGAAGCCAGGCGGCGACGCCGAGCGGAACCCGAAAUCCACUCUCAGUUCGGAUCGGAGUCUGCAACCCGACUCCGUGAAGCUGGAUUCGCUAGUAAUCGCGCAUCAGCCAUGGCGCGGUGAAUACGUUCCCGGGCCUUGCACACACCGCCCGUCA